UACAGAGGUCUCAAGCGUUGUUCGGAUUCAUUGGGCGUAAUGGGUGCGUAGGCGGCGCGGUAAGUCGGGUGUGAAAUCUCGGAGCUUAACUCCGAAACUGCAUUCGAUACUGCCGUGCUUGAGGACUGGAGAGGAGACUGGAAUUUACGGUGUAGCGGUGAAAUGCGUAGAUAUCGUAAGGAAGACCAGUGGCGAAGGCGGGUCUCUGGACAGUUCCUGACGCUGAGGCACGAGGUCAGGGGAGCAAACGGG
This 252-nucleotide ribosomal RNA is filed under the name uncultured bacterium. RNAcentral's name for it is "partial 16S ribosomal RNA". It matches the Rfam family "Bacterial small subunit ribosomal RNA", at positions 524 to 776 of the family's 1533-position model. The record is from RNAcentral.